AGCCAAAAUAAAUGCUAAGGCAGCAUCCCUCCAGAGGGUGGCGCCGUAGGCGGCCGCAUACAGUAUGUCACCUAAUGGGUAGACGGGCACUGAUUAGACUGAAUAUUGUGGUCACAGAAAGGAAAAUAUGUGCUGAGUGUUUAGAGCAAUUUACUGUGAGGCCAGAAGGAAGAGCAACGUUCGGUCAAUGCAAGACACAUUAUCCACAAGGUAUUUCAAGGGCUUGGAAUCCACUCUCCUCUAGAGACUUGGCCUGGCCCACUGGAAGUCAGACGUUCUACACGACAGAAAUGCCUCUUGCCUUUGGUCCCUUAAGGCGCAGCAGGAGGGUGACAUAGCAGCCUUGUGAAGAAACCUCAUGUUGUUAUAAGCACUUCAGCGUCAACCUUUGAGAGCAAGUCAGCCUGUCUGCGAUGGUCCCCACAUAAUUAUUCUCCACAAAGUGCGAGCCUUUCUACAUUCCAGAUGUUAAGUUGAACAUAAAAUAUUCAUGACAACAUGGAGAGAGAGCCAUGUCACUGGACCUCUGAUUCAUUACUGACAUGCAGAAAUUAAAGACAGUGGCAGUUUUGGUAAAACAACACACUUCGGCAAAAUGGGACACGGACUUAGUGCGAAGAAUGUGCAGCAGGUCCUGUGUCUGCUGUAAAAGGGGGACAAUUGUCCCUGCACAUUGCAGAGUCCCAAGGCUGACGUGUUGUUUACUGUGGAAUAACAAAGGGACGAAGAAGUCAAGAUUCUGACGUGAAGCAAAGUGAACAAGGUGCCACAAUCGCAGAACAGGGACGUGCUUCAGAAUGCAAAGUGCCUUCCAGGCCGGGCGAAUUCCCCAAACUUCUGCGGCUUGAGUUGCAGGUUACCUAUGGAUGCAUUCAAACUACAUCACAGGUUGAUUUUCACUCACCUAAACCGAGGUCCAGCCGUUGUAGUAAACAAAUUUUUAGUUGCAGUAUAUUUUCACAGCACCAGCUCACAUCUAUGCUACGGAAAACAUGUUAUCUGAAUACUUACAUAAUAUAAAGGAAACACAUAGAUAUGCCGUUAAUGCAAUGUUUUCAGUAAAUCAUGUAUUUCUUGAGUUUUAGAGUUUAAAGACCCAGUAUGGGAUGGUCAGGAAAAAAGCAUAAAAGCAUUGAAAUAUAUAAGAUAUAUAUAUAUAAAAUAUGCAUGAAUUAUUUAAAGAAAUAAACUCUCCCCACAUCCACCACCCCCCACCAUUUAUCACACAGGGGGGGCUGCUAAAUUUGACAUUCUGGUGGGAUUUAUGAUACAUAGUAAUUAUAGAUAUUAAAUGCCCUUUAAACAAAAAGAGUGUUAUUACAGCGAUAAUCAUAAUUUUAUACUUUAUAGAGGAUUAAUGGAAGAAGUACAUUUUUACAUGCUGUGUUUUGCCAUGCCGUGAACAUUUAAACAUAUAUUCAAAUUUAAACAUAUGAUUCAAAACACAUUAAUAUGCAUGCAACAAAGAACAAUAA
Non-coding RNA from Paramormyrops kingsleyae, 1475 nucleotides. The record is from RefSeq and is a predicted model, not a curated record. Lineage: Eukaryota; Metazoa; Chordata; Actinopteri; Osteoglossiformes; Mormyridae.